This 1802-nucleotide ribosomal RNA is filed under the name Escherichia coli 5-366-08_S4_C2. RNAcentral describes it as "partial 23S ribosomal RNA". Lineage: Bacteria; Pseudomonadati; Pseudomonadota; Gammaproteobacteria; Enterobacterales; Enterobacteriaceae. The record is from RNAcentral.
CAAAAUACCCUUUCGUUGAUAGAAAUUGUCAAAGCGGUAAAAACCAAUUCGAUUAUACCGGUGGAAAGUCUGUUGGCCAACCAUGUGAUUCGGGAACUACAUAAGUCGUCAUAAUUCUGACAUGGAAGAUCUAGCCGACAGCUUCCCGGUUGUCGGCGGAAUGCUGGUUGUAUUGAUAAACAUAUAUUGGGCUCCCUCAUUUGAGUUUGUUAUCUGAGAGGGCGUCUCCCACUGUAAUGCCCUGCUUGGUUCAUUGCAUCAGGGUAAUGCUACACUUUCGUUACCUUCAAAAAGUUCAGUCGCUUUAUAUGUAAUAUCAUUUUUUGUCAGCAUGCUUUUCGCCUGGAUGCCUUUUGAGUGCUUCGAUAAGAUUACUUCGCUCUUCCUCUGUCAUCCGGGAUAUGAGUAAUGCAAGUUCAGCUGUGGUCUGAUCAUCACAAAAAAAGUAGUUCAACGGCACGUUUAACUCUGCCGCCAUCCGUCGAAGCGUAUCAAUAUCGGGGACAUGGCGCCCUUUCUCAUAAUGAUUCAUACGACUGCUAGCCGAAGCGGGAUCAAACCCAACAAGGAGGCCCAAUGAGCGCUGUGAUAAACCCGCCCUGCAUCUCGCUUCCUUAAGUCUUUCUGGUAUCGGAUUUUUUUCAGACACUGAUUCAUCUUCAUUGGCCUCGAAUGCUUAGAUUGUCUAAGUAUCUGCCAUUGUUGUAUACUUAGCAAUCCUAAGUUAACUGCCUUGUUUUAGUCAUAUGAAUAGUCGAGUAUCCAACCCUGAGUCGUACAUAUUUUCUGCAAUAAUCUAUAUUGGUAAAGAUAACUUCACCAGUAACGAUGUGGCUCAAAUUCUUAUCGAGCGAUUUUCACUUCCGAAAAGUUAUUUUAAGGCAAAAGCUUUUGCUUAUAACCAAAUUCAGUGUUUAGUUAGAAAAGGAUUAUUGAGUAAAGUCAGAAAAUCAGGCGCGUAUCAAUAUGUAUACUCAGUCACAUCUGAAUUCAAUGUCGUAAAGGAAAGCGUAGAGUUAAUUGAGGUACCCCAAAAAAAUUCCUGUCAACUUGUUUUAAGUGCUACCAGCCAUGAAUACAGAAAUGUAAAUAUUCAAAUAAGAACUCUUAUUGAAAAAUACAGCAGCGAGUUGGAAAAAGUAUCAGGAGCAGGUGAUGCUGCCAACUUACUGAUUUAGUGUAUGAUGGUGUUUUUGAGGUGCUCCAGUGGCUUCUGUUUCUAUCAGCUGUCCCUCCUGUUCAGCUACUGACGGGGUGGUGCGUAACGGCAAAAGCACUGCCGGACAUCAGCGCUAUCUCUGCUCUCACUGCCGUAAAACAUGGCAACUGCAGUUCACUUACACCGCUUCUCAACCCGGUACGCACCAGAAAAUCAUUGAUAUGGCCAUGAAUGGCGUUGGAUGCCGGGCAACCGCCCGCAUUAUGGGCGUUGGCCUCAACACGAUUUUACGCCACUUAAAAAACUCAGGCCGCAGUCGGUAACCUCGCGCAUACAGCCGGGCAGUGACGUCAUCGUCUGCGCGGAAAUGGACGAACAGUGGGGAUACGUCGGGGCUAAAUCGCGCCAGCGCUGGCUGUUUUACGCGUAUGACAGGCUCCGGAAGACGGUUGUUGCGCACGUAUUCGGUGAACGCACUAUGGCGACGCUGGGGCGUCUUAUGAGCCUGCUGUCACCCUUUGACGUGGUGAUAUGGAUGACGGAUGGCUGGCCGCUGUAUGAAUCCCGCCUGAAGGGAAAGCUGCACGCAAUCAGCAAGCGAUAUACGCAGCGAAUUGAGCGGCAUAACCUGAAUCUGAGGCAG